Molecule: ribosomal RNA, 35 nt
Filed under: Symbiodinium sp. C clone KB179A_18
Lineage: Eukaryota; Dinophyceae; Suessiales; Symbiodiniaceae
Description: partial 28S ribosomal RNA
Source: RNAcentral
AGGUGCAUGCCUCUAGCAUGAAGUCAGAUAAGUGA